This 253-nucleotide ribosomal RNA is filed under the name uncultured bacterium. Its description in RNAcentral is "partial 16S ribosomal RNA". It matches the Rfam family "Bacterial small subunit ribosomal RNA", at positions 524 to 776 of the family's 1533-position model. The record is from RNAcentral.
UACAGAGGUCUCGAGCGUUGUUCGGAUUCAUUGGGCGUAAAGGGUGCGUAGGCGGCGCGGUAAGUCGGGUGUGAAAUCUCGGAGCUUAACUCCGAAACUGCAUUCGAUACUGCCGUGCUUGAGGACUGGAGAGGAGACUGGAAUUUACGGUGUAGCGGUGAAAUGCGUAGAUAUCGUAAGGAAGACCAGUGGCGAAGGCGGGUCUCUGGACAGUUCCUGACACUGAGGCACGAAGGCCAGGGGAGCAAACGGG